Molecule: long non-coding RNA, 739 nt
Organism: Phascolarctos cinereus (koala)
Lineage: Eukaryota; Metazoa; Chordata; Mammalia; Diprotodontia; Phascolarctidae
Source: Ensembl
CGUCCCCCCAACCUCUGGAAAGAAAAGGUUGCAGCGAGUGGUGUGUGUACAUUUCACAUUGCCAAUAACACACACACACACAUACACACGCUCUCGUGUGCGCGCGCGCGCGCAUACACACACAUACACUCCGCACACAUACACACAGACACGGCUUGGGGAGAGAGGAGAGACAGCGCGAGACAGCGCGAGCCUCCGAGAAAGCGCGAGACAAGCCGGCGCGUGUAGCCGCCGCCGCCGCCGCCGCCGCCGCCGCGCCGCCGCCGCCGCCUUAGAGCUCCCAGCGCUGCCCAGCGCCGCCAGCGGAGGAACAGUCCCAGUUAUUUAUGCUGCUGCUACGUCCGCCGCUUGUAGUUCAGUCCGACCCCCCCCCCCGUAACUCCCGCGGCCGUCCCCUCUCCUCCGCGCGCGCGCGCACGCACACACACAUACAACAUACACAACACACACACACAACACACGCGCAUGCACGCACAGAUACACUCUCCCCCCUAACCCCCCAUUCCAGGCGGCAGCUGCAAAAGACUUUGUGCACGGCUGCGUGGGCUGGGGCUUUCGGCAGCUCCUCUCCUCUUCGGGGGUCACCUCCUCUGGACGCCCCGCUCCGCGUCUCGCUUUUCUUGGUUACAUUAAGGUCACUAAAUCUUAAACAGGAGACAGAAACCUGAUCACACAGCCUUCUGGAAGGUAAGUGGAAAAGGGGACACCAUUCAGUAAUUUUUAAAGAGCUUAUUUCAAA